RNAcentral lists this ribosomal RNA (254 nucleotides) under uncultured bacterium. Its description in RNAcentral is "partial 16S ribosomal RNA". It matches the Rfam family "Bacterial small subunit ribosomal RNA", at positions 524 to 776 of the family's 1533-position model. The record is from RNAcentral.
UACGAAGGGGGCUAGCGUUGUUCGGAAUUACUGGGCGUAAAGCGCGCGCAGGCGGCCUUGCAAGUCAGUGGUGAAAUCCCAGAGCUUAACUCCGGAAUUGCCAUUGAAACUGCGAGGCUUCGAGUACGGGAGAGGUGAGUGGAAUUCCCAGUGUAGAGGUGAAAUUCGUAGAUAUUGGGAAGAACACCGGUGGCGAAGGCGGCUCACUGGCCAGUUUCUGACGCUGCAGCGCGAAAGCGUGGGGAUCAAACAGG